This is a long non-coding RNA of Equus caballus (horse), 2604 nucleotides long. NCBI's taxonomy places the organism in Eukaryota, Metazoa, Chordata, Mammalia, Perissodactyla, Equidae. The record is from Ensembl.
GUAGUUCCCUCGCAGGAGCGGCCGCCUGUGCAGGAGACCAGGCUGUGAGGAAGAAAGGAGUGGCUGAUGUCCUGUGAGACGUCUUCUCAGGACUGAAGCCCAACCUUACAGUUAGGAGUUUUUAAACUUCCCACAGUGAGGCCAGGAGCUAAAGUGAUGGAAAUAUGCAAAUCAAUGAGUUGAUGGCGUUAUUGGUAUUUUUUCUGACGAAGGUAAAACCACCCUCCGUUCUCCCCUUCGGCCCUGCCUGUCUGCCACCUUCUCCUACCUGCUCCCCGUCGUCUCUCGCUUUAGUCCUUUUUCCUGGCUCUCUAGAGCCAGACUGCCUGCCUUCAUAUUCGUCUCCGCCACUGAGUGAUUGCAUGACUAAGGAAAUGGCUAACUUGUGUACCUCUCUCCUUUUUUCUUUUUUUUUGGUGAGGAAGAUUGGCCCUGAGCUAACAUCUGUGCCAGUGUUCCUCUAUUUUGUAUGUGGGACACCUCCACAGCGUGGCUGCCAAGGAGUGGUGCUAGGUUGGCACCUGGGAUCAGAACCGUGAACCCCGGGCCACCUAAACCGUGAGCAGGAACUUAACCAUUAUGCCACCUGGCCGGCCCCCUGCACCUCAGUUUUUUUUAUCUGUAAACUAGGGAUGGAAUAGUACCCGCCUCAUAGGAUUAUUUGAAGACAAAGUGAGUUUAUAGUAAGGUGUAUGUAAGAGUGCCUUUCACAUGGUAAAUGCUCAAACGUUAGCUUUGAUACCCUUCUCCCAACGUCGCUCUCCAAAACAGAGAGGUUAGUAAUAAUAACAGGUGUGCACUACUAAAUUGUGAGCUUUUAAUAAAAUUGUGGGCAGGUGCUGCCAUAUCUUAGACUUAUUAGUCUUUGUUCCCCACCCCGCCCAUACUGUGCUGGCACAGUGCCCGUGUAACCUCCGGAAGUGUUUGUUGAAUGACCUCCCAUCAUCAGGAUGCGUAACAAAGUGGCAAUCCAGCAUCCUCCAGGUGUUCUUCUAGUUGUGGUAUGUGGGACGCUGCCUCAGCAUGGUCUGACGAGCAGUGCCAUGUCCGUGCCCAGGAUUCGAACCAACGAAACACUGGGAUGCCUGCAGCGGAGCGCGCGAACUUAACCACUCAGCCGCGGGGCCAGCCCCCUUUAGUGACCAUUUUUAAAGUGAUAACUCUAGUAUUUAAAAGGUACCCGUAUGUCCAUAGUGAUAUUGUGAAGUGUACACAUACCAACUCACAGAUUUGUUUUUCAAGCAAUGCUAGGACUUAGUAGGAGAAAGUAAUGUUCCAGUUCUUUACUGGAGAGAGAAGCUGGUAUUUGAGAGAGUGAAGAGGGAUGGGCAAAACCACAAUGAGAUACCACUUCACAUCCACAAGGAUGGCUAUAAUCAAAAAAGUAGAAAAUAACAAGUGUUAAUGGGGAUAUGGAGAAAUUGGCACUCUCAUCCAUUGCUGGCAGAAAUGUAAGAUGGUGCCUCCACUGUAGAAGAUAGUUUGGCAGUCUGAAAAACUUAAACAUAGAAUUACCUUAUGACCCAGUAAUUCCACUGCUAGCUGUACACCUUGUAUGUGAAUGUUCACAGCGGUACUAUUCACAAUAACAGGAAGGUGGAAAGCACCCAAACGUCCAUCAACAGAUGAAUGGAUAAACAAAAUGUGGUAUGACCAUACAAUGGAAUAUUAUUUAUCAAUAGAAAGAAAUGAAAUGCUAUCCAUGCUGCAAUAUGAAUGAACCUUGGAAACAUUAUACUAAGUGAAAGAAACCAGUCACAAAAAGACCUCAUAUUGUAUGAUUACAUUUAUUUGAAAUAUUUAGAAUAGGCAAGUCUAUGGAGACUAGACUCGCAGUUGCUUGGAGCUGAGACGCACGGGAGAGGGGUAUAGAUGAGUGACGGCUAAAGAGUGUGGGGUUUCUUUUUCAGCUGAUAAAGAUGUUCUAAAACUGAUGAUGAUUGCACAUAUCUGGAAUAUACUAAAAACUAUUGAACUGGUCACUUUAAAUGGAUGAAUUGUAAAUCAGUGAAUUAUGUCUCCAUAAAGCUGUUAAAAGAUUUUAAAAAGAGUGAUGGGAAACAUUCUUUUCAAGUCCUGUAAAUAUAUACAUGUAGUUAUAUAGACAUACUGCAAUGUUAUUAGGGAAAAGUAAUAAGCAAUAUGGCUUAAAUUUAUUUUUAAUAAUCUGUAAUUAAAAAUACGUAAAAUACAGGGCUGGCCCAGUAGCGUGGCGGUUAAGUUCUCACAAUUUGCUUCUGCGCUGGGCUUUGCCAGUGCAAAUCCUGGGCGUGGACCUACGCACCACUUAUAAAGCCAUGCUUUGGCAAGCAUCCCACAUAUAAAAGUAGAGAAAGAUGGGCAUGGAUGUUAGCUCAGGGCCAAUCUUCCUAAAAAAAAAAAAAAGUAAGGUACUUUAACUACAGAUUUGAUCAUCUUCAACAAACGUUUCCAUGCCUCUUUUAUGCCUGAUGAUGUAAUUUGUGCUGUAAAGGACACAACCGUUUUCGUAUUCAUUCAGCAAAUAUUUAUUGAGCGCCUACCAUGUUACAGGUACCAUUGUAAGGAUUGGUGAUCCCUGUCCUCAUGAAGCUUAUUUUCUAGUGAGAGCAAAGAACGAAAUUA